This 498-nucleotide ribosomal RNA is filed under the name uncultured bacterium. RNAcentral describes it as "bacterial SSU rRNA". It matches the Rfam family "Bacterial small subunit ribosomal RNA", at positions 28 to 573 of the family's 1533-position model. The record is from RNAcentral.
AACGAACGCUGGCGGCAUGCCUAACACAUGCAAGUCGAACGAGACCUUCGGGUCUAGUGGCGCACGGGUGCGUAACGCGUGGGAAUCUGCCCUUAGGUUCGGAAUAACUCAGGGAAACUUGAGCUAAUACCGGAUAAUGACUUCGGUCCAAAGAUUUAUCGCCUGAGGAUGAGCCCGCGUCGGAUUAGCUAGUUGGUGAGGUAAAGGCUCACCAAGGCGACGAUCCGUAGCUGGUCUGAGAGGAUGAUCAGCCACACUGGGACUGAGACACGGCCCAGACUCCUACGGGAGGCAGCAGUGGGGAAUAUUGGACAAUGGGCGAAAGCCUGAUCCAGCAAUGCCGCGUGAGUGAUGGAGGCCCUAGGGUUGUAAAGCUCUUUUACCCGGGAUGAUAAUGACAGUACCGGGAGAAUAAGCCCCGGCUAACUCCGUGCCAGCAGCCGCGGUAAUACGGAGGGGCUAGCGUUGUUCGGAAUUACUGGGCGUAAAGCGCACGUA